Molecule: ribosomal RNA, 387 nt
Filed under: uncultured Nitrospina sp.
Lineage: Bacteria; Pseudomonadati; Nitrospinota; Nitrospinia; Nitrospinales; Nitrospinaceae
Description: bacterial SSU rRNA
Rfam family: Bacterial small subunit ribosomal RNA
Source: RNAcentral
AACGAACGCUGGUGGCGUGCUUAACACAUGCAAGUCGAACGAGAAAGUUUCCUUCGGGAAAUUAGUAAAGUGGCGCAAGGGUGAGUAUCACGUGAAUAAUCUGCCCUCGAGAUCGGGAUAACAUGGUGAAAACUAUGCUAAUACCGGAUAAGACCACAUUUCAUAAGAAAUGCGGUAAAAGGAGUCUCAAUCUUUACUCGAGGAUGAGUUCGCGCAACAUUAGCUUGUUGGUGAGAUAAAAGCUCACCAAGGCUACGAUCCGUAGCUGGUCUGAGAGGAUGAUCAGCCACACUGGGACUGAGACACGGCCCAGACUCCUACGGGAGGCAGCAGUGGGGAAUAUUGCACAAUGGGCGAAAGCCUGAUGCAGCCAUACCGCGUGGUGAG